UCUUCACUUGCACCAAUAUCAGCCUUCCCUCAAACUAUGAGAUGCUCAAGAAAAAGCAUGAGGCAGCCAUGUUGGAGGUACCCCCACAGCUUGCUGCCGUAAAGUCCACCAUUUUCAACAUCCACAGUAAGACCUCUGUGUCCACCAUGUUGCCUGGUCCCUGUUCAACACACUCUUCAUCAAUUGCUGCUUCCUGAGACUUGUCACAUAAAAUUAACCCAUGAAGUCUAGGGACCAAAAGAUGGCAGGCCAUGUGACUGGGCCCAGACUUAUAUCUCCAUUGAUAAGUGUGUGAACAUCAGUGACCUGUUCUUUGGCAUCCUUCUGACCACUAGAUUCAUCAGAUUUUGGGUCACUGAUU
Molecule: long non-coding RNA, 361 nt
Filed under: Homo sapiens (human)
Lineage: Eukaryota; Metazoa; Chordata; Mammalia; Primates; Hominidae
Description: non-protein coding lnc-CYP7B1-10:1
Source: RNAcentral